RNAcentral lists this ribosomal RNA (424 nucleotides) under uncultured bacterium. RNAcentral describes it as "bacterial SSU rRNA". It matches the Rfam family "Bacterial small subunit ribosomal RNA", at positions 358 to 774 of the family's 1533-position model. The record is from RNAcentral.
AGGAUCAUUCGCAAUGGGGGAAACCCUGACGAUGCGACGCUGCGUGGAGGAUGAAGGCCCUCGGGUCGUAAACUCCUGUCAUGAGGGAAAAGGCGAGGGGACCCAACACGUCCCUUAGUUGAUGGUACCUCAAGAGGAACGGGCGGCUAACUCUGUGCCAGCAGCCGCGGUAAUACAGAGGCCCGUAGCGUUGUUCGGAUUUACUGGGCGUAAAGGGCGCGUAGGCGGCCAGGCGUGUCGGAUGUGAAAUCUCCGGGCUCAACCCGGAAAGUGCGUCCGAAACUGCCCGGCUCGAGUGCGGGAUGGGGAAGGGGAAUGCAGGGUGUAGCGGUGAAAUGCGUUGAUAUCCUGCAGAACACCGGAGGCGAAGGCGCCUUCCUGGAACGCAACUGACGCUGAGGCGCGAAAGUCGGGGGAGCAAACA